RNAcentral lists this ribosomal RNA (444 nucleotides) under uncultured bacterium. Its description in RNAcentral is "partial 16S ribosomal RNA". It matches the Rfam family "Bacterial small subunit ribosomal RNA", at positions 339 to 795 of the family's 1533-position model. The record is from RNAcentral.
CUACGGGGCGCAGCAGUGGGGAAUAUUGCGCAAUGGGCGAAAGCCUGACGCAGCAACGCCGCGUGAGGGAUGAAGGCCUUCGGGUUGUAAACCUCUUUCAGCAGGGAAGAAGCGAAAGUGACGGUACCUGCAGAAGAAGCACCGGCUAACUACGUGCCAGCAGCCGCGGUAAUACGUAGGGUGCAAGCGUUGUCCGGAUUUAUUGGGCGUAAAGAGCUCGUAGGCGGUUAGUCACGUCGGAUGUGAAAAUCCAAGGCUUAACCUUGGACCUGCAUUCGAUACGGGCUGACUAGAGUGUUGUAGGGGAGACUGGAACUCCUGGUGUAGCGGUGAAAUGCGCAGAUAUCAGGAAGAACACCGAUGGCGAAGGCAGGUCUCUGGGCAACUACUGACGCUGAGGAGCGAAAGCGUGGGGAGCAAACAGGAUUAGAUACCCCCGUAGUC